Molecule: unclassified non-coding RNA, 400 nt
Filed under: soil metagenome
Description: partial contains 5.8S ribosomal RNA, internal transcribed spacer 2, and large subunit ribosomal RNA
Rfam family: 5.8S ribosomal RNA (bases 1-122)
Source: RNAcentral
GAUGAAGAACGUAGCGAAAUGCGAUACUUGGUGUGAAUUGCAGAAUCCCGUGAACCAUCGAGUCUUUGAACGCAAGUUGCGCCUCAAGCCAUUAGGUUGAGGGCACGUCUGCCUGGGCGUCACAUAUCGUUGCCUGAUGCCAGUUUCCUCGUGAUGGGUGACUGUGCAGGGCGAAUGAUGGCUUCCCAUGAGCAUUGUUGCCUCAUGGUUGGUUGAAAAUUGAGUCCUUGGUAGGGAGCGCCGUGAUAGAUGGUGGUUGAGUGACGAACGAGCCCCAAUCAUGUGAGACCCCUACCGAAUUUGGCCUUCAUGACCCACAUGCGUCUUUGGAACGCUCAUGACGAGACCUCAGGUCAGGCGGGGCUACCCGCUGAGUUUAAGCAUAUCAAUAAGCGGAGGA